AGACCUAAGGACCAUCAGGCCCAUCAUUUGAUUUGCACUCAAAUACCUUAUUAAGUC
This 57-nucleotide transfer RNA is filed under the name Diporiphora australis. RNAcentral's name for it is "tRNA-Cys". Lineage: Eukaryota; Metazoa; Chordata; Lepidosauria; Squamata; Agamidae. The record is from RNAcentral.